Molecule: ribosomal RNA, 465 nt
Filed under: uncultured bacterium
Lineage: Bacteria
Description: partial 16S ribosomal RNA
Rfam family: Bacterial small subunit ribosomal RNA
Source: RNAcentral
CCUACGGGAGGCAGCAGUGGGGAAUAUUGCGCAAUGGGCGAAAGCCUGACGCAGCGACGCCGCGUGAGGGAUGAAGGUCUUCGGAUCGUAAACCUCUGUCAGCAGGGAAGAACGGUCACUGUGCUAAUCAGCAGUGAAUUGACGGUACCUGCAAAGGAAGCACCGGCUAACUCCGUGCCAGCAGCCGCGGUAAUACGGAGGGUGCGAGCGUUAAUCGGAAUUACUGGGCGUAAAGCGCUCGUAGGCGGUAUGUCAAGUCAAGGGUGAAAUCCCCGCGCUCAACGUGGGAACUGCCUUUGAAACUGGCAAACUGGGGUGUGUGAGAGGAUAGUGGAAUGCCAGGUGUAGGAGUGAAAUCCGUAGAUAUCUGGGGGAACAUCAGUGGCGAAGGCGACUAUCUGGCACAUAACUGACGCUGAGGAGCGAAAGCGUGGGUAGCAAACAGGAUUAGAUACCCGAGUAGUC